This 468-nucleotide ribosomal RNA is filed under the name uncultured bacterium. RNAcentral describes it as "partial 16S ribosomal RNA". It matches the Rfam family "Bacterial small subunit ribosomal RNA", at positions 28 to 507 of the family's 1533-position model. The record is from RNAcentral.
GACGAACGCUGGCGGCGUGCUUAACACAUGCAAGUCGAACGGAAAGGCCCGGCUUUUGUGGGGUGCUCGAGUGGCGAACGGGUGAGUAACACGUGAGUAACCUGCCCUUGACUUUGGGAUAACUUCAGGAAACUGGGGCUAAUACCGGAUAGGAGCUCCUGCUGCAUGGUGGGGGGUGGAGAGUUUCGGCGGUUGGGGAUGGACGCGCGGCUUCUGAGCUUGUUGGUGGGGUAGGGGCUUACCAAGGCUUUGGCGGGUCGCCGGCCGGAGAGGGUGACCGGCCACAUUGGGACUGAGAUACGGCCCAGACUCCUACGGGAGGCAGCAGGGGGGAAUAUUGCACUAUGGGCGGAAGCCUGAUGCAGCAACGCCGCGUGCGGGAUGAGGGCCUUCGGGUUGUAAACCGCUUUCGCCUGUGACGAAGCGUGAGUGACGGUAAUGGGUAAAGAAGCACCGGCUAACUACGUG